UGGAGAAUUGUGAGAGUUAACUUAAAAUCAGAAAUCUGGAGUAUCGUGCCACGAUGGAGAAGCAUCGCGCCACGAUGGUUGAAGCAAGAUUCCUGGGAAGACACUGGAUUUUUCGUGCCACGAUGAAGCCUCAUCGCGCCACGAUGGUCGCGCUGAAGAUAAAAAUAAAACGUAUUUUCAGUUAGAUUUGUUUCAGUUUUUUAAGGGUUUACUUUCCACUAUAAAUACAGCCUUGUAUCAGAUGAUAAAAGUGUGUAGAAAAACAAGGUUUAGACCAACAAACAAACUAGGGUUUAUAGAGAAUCUCUCUUGGCAACAACUCUAGGGUUGGGAUUGUUUUGAUUCACCUUGAACAAAACACUAUUAGGAUUGAGUCUCUUGGUCACGGGAAGAGGCUGGGACUUGGGUAGAAUUAGGUUUGAAGACUGAUUCUUGAAACUCAUUAUCUCUUUGUAAAGAAACUCAUUCAUUAUAGUGGAUCGGAGAGCUGCUCUCUCCCCCAGACUAGGUCAUCAUUAGACCGAACUGGGUAAACAAAUAUCUUGUGUUCUUUCUCUCUCUCUCUCUCUCUCUCUCUCUCUCUCUCUCUUUUAUCUCUUGCUGUUUUUGUUUGGAUUAUUUGCUACCCGCUUGAUUUGAUUACUUGGUAUUAAUUUGCUCCACGCAUCAAGUUUUUAUUGGUGUGGUUUUCUCAACGAAUUCACAACAAUUGGCGCCCACCGUGGGGCAAAGGUCAAAUCAAUAGCCAGGUAUCAUGGGUUCGAAGUGGGAUAUUGAAAAGUUCACCGGUAGUAACGACUUCGGGUUGUGGAAGGUGAAGAUGAGGGCAAUCUUAAUUCAACAAAAGUGCGUUGAAGCACUAAAGGGAGAAGCACAGAUGUCUGCACAUCUGACACCUGCUGAGAAGACGGAGAUGAAUGAUAAGGCGGUCAGCGCUAUCAUUCUGUGUCUUGGGGAUAAGGUGUUGAGAGAAGUAUCAAGGGAGGCUACUGCUGUGUCUAUGUGGAAUAAGCUUGAUUCAUUAUACAUGACCAAGUCUUUGGCACAUAGACAGUGUCUGAAACAACAACUCUACUUUUAUCGUAUGGUGGAGUCAAAACCUAUAAUGGAGCAACUGACGGAGUUCAAUAAGAUUAUUGAUGAUUUGGCGAACAUAGAUGUUAAUCUGGAAGACGAGGAUAAAGCCUUACACCUAUUGUGUGCUUUACCUAGGUCCUUUGAGAAUUUCAAGGAUACUAUGCUUUAUGGCAAAGAGGGCACUAUCACUUUGGAGGAAGUUCAAGCAGCUUUGAGAACCAAAGAGUUAACCAAGUUCAAAGAGUUGAAGGUUGAUGAUAGUGGAGAAGGCUUGAAUAUCUCAAGGGGGAGAAGUCACAACAGAGGAAAAGGGAAAGGCAAGAAUUCCAGGUCAAAGUCUAGGUCGAAGGGUGAUGGCAAUAAAACACAGUACAAAUGUUUUAUUUGUCAUAAUCCAGGUCACUUCAAGAAGGAUUGUCCGGAGAGAAAGGACAAUGGAGGUGGAGAUUCAUCCGUUCAGAUUGCAAGCAAAGAUGAAGGUUAUGAGAGUGCUGGAGCACUAACUGUGACAAGUUGGGAACCUGAAAAGAGCUGGGUCUUGGACUCUGGGUGCUCUUAUCACAUUUGUCCAAGAAAGGAGUACUUUGAAACGUUAGAGCUGAAAGAAGGUGGAGUAGUUCGCCUUGGUAAUAAUAAGGCUUGUAAAAUUCAAGGUAUGGGUACUAUCCGACUCAAAAUGUUUGAUGAUCGUGAUUUCCUUUUGAAGAAUGUGAGGUAUAUUCCUGAACUUAGGAGAAAUUUAAUAUCCAUAAGCAUGUUUGAUGGUCUAGGCUAUUGCACUAGAAUUGAACGUGGUGUGAUGAGAAUUUCUCAUGGUGCAUUGGUUAUGGCUAAAGGGUCUGAAAUACAAGGUCUAUAUAUUUUAGAAGGUUCUACCGUAAUAGCAAAUGCAUCGGUUGCUAGUGUUGACACUCUGGACAUAACUAAACUUUGGCAUUUGAGGUUAGGUCAUGUCAGUGAGAGGGGUUUGGUGGAGCUAGCUAAACAAGGUUUGCUAGGGAAUGAAAAAUUGAACAAGCUAGAUUUCUGUGAUAACUGCACAUUAGGCAAACAACACAAGGUGAAGUUUGGAGUGGGUGUACAUAAAUCUAGUAGGCCUUUUGAGUAUGUUCAUUCGGAUCUUUGGGGUCCAGCAUCAGUUAAGACUCAUGGGGGAGGUUCAUAUUUCAUGUCUAUCAUUGAUGAUUAUUCUAGAAGAGUAUGGGUUUACAUUCUGAAGAAUAAAAGUGAUGCUUUUGAAAAAUUCAAAGAAUGGGAUACACUUGUAGAAAAUCAGAUUGGAACUAAACUGAAAGUGUUGAGAACUGACAAUGGCCUGGAGUUUGUUUCAGAGCAGUUUAAUGAGUUUUGCAGGAAGAAAGGUAUAAAGAGGCAUAGAACCGUGGCAUACACACCUCAACAGAAUGGUCUUGCUGAAAGAAUGAACAGGACUUUGUUGGAGCGUGUGAGGUGUAUGCUGUUGGGAGCUGGAUUGUCCAAGAGUUUCUGGGGAGAGGCUGUUAGUAUUGCAGCAUAUUUGAUUAACAGAUGUCCAUCAACAGGGAUAGAUCUCAAGACACCUAUGGAGGUUUGGAGUGGGAGACGGGUAGACUACUCUAACUUGAAAGUUUUCGGAGCUUUAGCGUUUGCUCAUGUCAGACAAGACAAACUUGAUGCUAGAGCUGUGAAGUGUAUUUUCAUGGGUUAUCCUGAAGGUGUGAAAGGUUAUAGACUGUGGAAGAUGGAACCUAGAGGAUCAAAAAUUAUUAUAAGCAGGGAUGUUACUUUUGAUGAGACCCACAUGGGGAUGAAGUGCAAAGACCUGGAUACAAGCUCGGAAACGGGGAUAGAGAAAAUUCAGUUUGAGGUGGAGCCUACCACUGAUGAAAGGGAAGAGGAGGAUCAAACUCCAGUACCUGAUGAGAGUGAAGGCCUAGAGAUAAUUAAUCCUGACUAUCAGCUAACAACAGAUAGGACGAGGAGACAUAUUAAUCCACCUGAUAGAUACGGUUAUGCUGACCUUAUUUGUUAUGCUUUGAAUGCGGCUGAAGAAUUGCAAGACUCGGAACCAAAGAACUUCAGGGAAGCAUUAGAAAGCAAUGAAAACAAUGACUGGCUGAAGGCAAUGAAUGAGGAAAUGCUUUCAUUGGAGAAGAACCAGACUUGGAAACUUGUUUCAUUACCUAAGAAUCAAAGGGUAGUGGGAAGCAAGUGGGUGUUUAAGAAGAAAGAAGGUAUACCAGGGGUCGAAGCACCAAGGUAUAAGGCAAGACUUGUAGCAAAGGGUUUUACUCAGGUGGAAGGGAUUGAUUACAAUGAAAUCUUUUCAUCGGUGGUAAAACAUUGUUCUAUAAGGGUACUUAUGGCGAUUAUUAACAUGUAUGAUCUUGAGUUAGAACAGAUGGAUGUGAAGACCGCAUUUCUACAUGGAGAGUUGGAAGAAACUAUCUAUAUGCAACAACCAGAAGGUUUCGUAGAAGACAAUACAAAAGUGUGUUUGUUGAAGAAAUCCAUGUAUGGGUUGAAGCAAAGUCCUAGGCAGUGGUAUCGUCGGUUUGAUGAGUUCCUAGUAAAGGCUGGUUUUGUGAGAAGCAACUAUGAUAGUUGUGUUUACAUGAUGAGAAGGAAUGAGAAAGUCAUUAUCUAUCUUCUCCUUUAUGUAGAUGAUAUUCUUAUGGCAAGGUCUGACAAGCAAGAGAUUCAGAAGCUCAAGGAAAGAUUGAAUGAUGAAUUUGAGAUGAAGGAUCUUGGUAAUGCAAAGAAGAUACUUGGUAUGGAUAUCAUGAGGUACCGGAACAAAGGUGAGUUGUUCUUAUCUCAGCAGGGGUACUUGAGGAAAGUGGUGGAGCGGUUCAGAAUGAAAGAUUCUAAAGUCGUUAGCACUCCUCUUGGUCACCACACAAAGCUAUCUAUAAAGCAGUGUCCUCAAUCCGAGGAAGAGAAAACCAAGAUGGAAGGUACUCCCUAUGCAAGUGGGGUUAGAAGCAUCAUGUAUGGUAUGGUUUGUAGUAGGCCGGACUUAUCCUACGCAAUUAGUGUGAUAAGUCAGUUUAUGGCAAAUCCGGGUCAAGUGCAUUGGCAAGCUUUGAAGUGGAUUCUGAGAUAUUUGAAUGGAUCUUUGAAAGGUGGUCUAAGGUAUACAAGGUCACUACCAGGUAGGGAUGCUUUGGAGGGAUAUGUGGAUGCGGACUAUGCAGGUAACGUAGACACUAGAAAAUCUUUGUCAGGUUUUGUGUUUACAUUGUUCGGUACAGCGGUAACUUGGAAGGCAAAUCAACAAUCAGUUGUAGCUCUUUCAACAACUCAAGCAGAGCACAUAGCCCUUGUUGAAGGGGUCACGGAAGCCAUAUGGUUGAAAGGUAUGAUUGGAGAAAUGGGGAUCAGUCAAGGGUGUGUGAAGAUGCAUUGUGAUAGCCAAAGUGCCAUUCAUUUGGAAAAUCAUCAGGUAUAUCAUGAAAGGACAAAACACAUUGACAUUCGUUUGCACUUCGUAAAAGACAUGAUUGAGACAAAGGAGAUCAUGGUGGAGAAAGUGGCAUCGGAAGACAAUCCAGCAGACAUGUUCACCAAAUCAUUACCAAGAUCAAGAUUCAAGCAUUGCUUGGACUUGAUUAACUUCAUCGAAGCUUAGAUGAAGGAUUGGAGAGAGCAGCAAAGUGAUUGAUGGUUAAAUUGACAUCAUCACUGAUUUGAAGUCAAGGUGGAGAAUUGUAAAAGUUAACUUAAAAUCAGAAAUCUGGAGAAUCGUGCCACGAUGGAGAAGCAUCGCGCCACGAUUGUUGGAGGAAGAUCCUGAGGAAGCUACUGGAAUUUUCGUGCCACGAUGGCAUCGCUGAAGAUAUUUUUAAAACAUAUUUUCAGUUAGAUUUGUUUCAGUUUUUUAAGGGUUUACUUUCCACUAUAAAUAUAAGCCUUGUAUCAGAUGAUAAAGUGUGUAGAAAACAGGGUUUAGAAGCCAACAUACAAACUAGGGUUUAUAGAGAAUUUCUCUUGGCAACAACACUAGGGUUGGGAUUGUUUUGAUUCACCUUGAACAAAACACUAUUAGGAUUGAGUCUCUUGGUCACGG
RNAcentral lists this long non-coding RNA (5125 nucleotides) under Medicago truncatula (barrel medic). RNAcentral's name for it is "long non-coding RNA (MTRU_LNC005239)". Lineage: Eukaryota; Viridiplantae; Streptophyta; Magnoliopsida; Fabales; Fabaceae. The record is from RNAcentral.